AUUGAACGCUGGCGGCAGGCCUAACACAUGCAAGUCGAACGAGUGGCGGACGGGUGAGUAAUGUCUGGGAAACUGCCUGAUGGAGGGGGAUAACUACUGGAAACGGUAGCUAAUACCGCAUACCAUCAGAUGUGCCCAGAUGGGAUUAGCUAGUUGGUGGGGUAAUGGCUCCCCUAGGCGACGAUCACUAGCUGGUCUGAGAGGAUGACCAGCCACACGGGAACUGAGACACGGUCCAGACUCCUACGGGAGGCAGCAGUGGGGAAUAUUGCACAAUGGGCGCAAGCCUGAUGCAGCCAGGCCGCGGGUGUGAAGAAGGCCUUCGGGUUGUAAAGCACGUUCAGCGGGGAGGCGUUACUCGCAGAAGAAGCACCGGCUAACUCCGUGCCAGCAGCCGCGGUAAUAC
RNAcentral lists this ribosomal RNA (406 nucleotides) under uncultured bacterium. RNAcentral describes it as "partial 16S ribosomal RNA". It matches the Rfam family "Bacterial small subunit ribosomal RNA", at positions 30 to 526 of the family's 1533-position model. The record is from RNAcentral.